The sequence is a transfer RNA, 72 nucleotides long. It matches the Rfam family "tRNA". Rfam says of the family: Transfer RNA (tRNA) molecules are approximately 80 nucleotides in length. Their secondary structure includes four short double-helical elements and three loops (D, anti-codon, and T loops). The record is from Rfam.
GCCAUUCUAGUAUAGUGGUUAGUACACGUCGUUGUGGCCGACGAAACCUUGGUUCGAUUCCAGGGAAUGGCA